This 265-nucleotide ribosomal RNA is filed under the name uncultured bacterium. RNAcentral describes it as "partial 16S ribosomal RNA". It matches the Rfam family "Bacterial small subunit ribosomal RNA", at positions 793 to 1055 of the family's 1533-position model. The record is from RNAcentral.
GUCCAUGCCGUAAACGAUGAUUACUAGGUGUGGGGGGUCUGACCCCCUCCGUGCCGCAGUUAACACAAUAAGUAAUCCACCUGGGGAGUACGGCCGCAAGGUUGAAACUCAAAGGAAUUGACGGGGGCCCGCACAAGCAGUGGAGUAUGUGGUUUAAUUCGAAGCAACGCGAAGAACCUUACCAGGUCUUGACAUCCGUCUAACGAAGCAGAGAUGCAUUAGGUGCCCUUCGGGGAAAGCGAGACAGGUGGUGCAUGGUUGUCGU